AUGAGCAGAGUUAAGCACCGCUUCUUUGUUCUGGUGUCCCUCUCUGUGUCCAGCAGAGCCAGAGUGAGAGUGCCUCAAGGUCAAAUUCUAGUAAGCCUCCAAAUUAUUCUAGUACAGCAGCUCAGAGGAUGUCAUGAACGUAAGGAUCAACCUGCCGAGUCAUUAUCUGGUGAGCUAGAAAACUGUCCCGUUUACGACUGGAAGAAGGCAUUUCCCACAACAGCUUCAAGACUUGCUCUAGCUCCUGGGAGGAUCCCAAGGUCACAGGAGAGGAAACAUGCACGCCCAUGCCACAUUCAUGGAGGAGGACAGCGGUAG
This 318-nucleotide long non-coding RNA is filed under the name Struthio camelus australis. RNAcentral describes it as "lncRNA (ENSSCUG00000009992.1)". The record is from RNAcentral. Lineage: Eukaryota; Metazoa; Chordata; Aves; Struthioniformes; Struthionidae.